UGAGCCCUAAAAAGCUCUUUAAA
This 23-nucleotide transfer RNA is filed under the name Strabomantis biporcatus (Puerto Cabello robber frog). Its description in RNAcentral is "partial tRNA-Phe". The record is from RNAcentral. Lineage: Eukaryota; Metazoa; Chordata; Amphibia; Anura; Strabomantidae.